RNAcentral lists this ribosomal RNA (270 nucleotides) under uncultured bacterium. Its description in RNAcentral is "partial 16S ribosomal RNA". It matches the Rfam family "Bacterial small subunit ribosomal RNA", at positions 30 to 300 of the family's 1533-position model. The record is from RNAcentral.
AUUGAACGCUGGCGGCAUGCCUUACACAUGCAAGUCGAACGGCAGCACGGGGGCAACCCUGGUGGCGAGUGGCGAACGGGUGAGUAAUAUAUCGGAACGUGCCCUAGAGUGGGGGAUAACGUAGCGAAAGUUACGCUAAUACCGCAUACGAUCUAAGGAUGAAAGUGGGGGAUCGCAAGACCUCAUGCUCGUGGAGCGGCCGAUAUCUGAUUAGCUAGUUGGUGGGGUAAAAGCCUACCAAGGCGACGAUCAGUAGCUGGUCUGAGAGGA